This 7457-nucleotide long non-coding RNA is filed under the name Homo sapiens (human). Its description in RNAcentral is "long non-coding RNA NONHSAT207772.1". The record is from RNAcentral. Lineage: Eukaryota; Metazoa; Chordata; Mammalia; Primates; Hominidae.
CUACUCAACUACUUUUCCAUGUUUGUUUAUAAAGAUAUCAUGUUUAGUUUUUAAAACUAGACUUUAAAAAUUAUAUAGGUUUACACAGAAUAAAGAACACAGAGAACUCUUUAUUAAAAAUAAAAGUGCUUUCCUUCUGUCCUCCACCCCACAGUAACACUGUGGUCUUUGGAAUCUUGCAAAAACAUACACAAGGGUACGCAUAUGUACUUGUUUACUUCUGUGUAUUUUUUUUUUUUUUACAUAAAUGGAAUUGCACUAUAUAGUUCUGUAGCUCAGUUUUUAAAAUUUGGUAUUAAAAUGUUCUUUCAGUUAGGGCCAAAGGGCAUUUAACUUCAAGGUAAGACCCAUUCCAGGACGGCAGAGAUCAUGUCUGUCUUGCGUAUCCCUGUGUGAAUUUUGCCUGACAUGUUGCAAACACUCCGUAUGGAAGUCUUGAGGGUCUUCUGCCCCAGUCAGAAAACCUCUGGGAGAACAGUUAUCCCCAGACCUCAGACGCUCGACGGAUACAUGAGAAGCUUUCUUUGAUGGAUUCGAUGUCAGGAUCUCCAUGUGAACUUCCACUUAGAGGUGUCAUGCUAUGGUGAGUCCCAUUCCUAAGCAUGGUAAAAAUUUGGUGCCCCAAAGUCUAUAGGGGAGUGCACGUACAUGGCUGGGGAGGGAAUAAAGAGGCCAAAGAGGUCAGCAGCCCUUGGUGCUGCUGAAAUUCUCCCUAAACCAGCAAUCAAUAAAAUACAUCUUAUCUUCUUUGGAUUAGAAAAUUCAACUUUGAUAGCAGAACAAGUAUUCUUAGUAAUUAGUAAGAUUAUUAAUAAAGAAUCUUAGAUUCUUAGGGGAUUCUUUUAGUGAACUACAAAACUAGUUGUGUGCAUGCAUGUGUAAGCUGAAAUAUAUCAGUAACAGUAUUAAAUAAUGUGUGUAUUUGAGUUCUAAUAUAUCAAAUUACAAUUUAUUUAAGAUAUGCAUCCUAUAAUACUCUUCCUCACCAAACAGUUUCUAAUGUGAUAGUUGGUUUUUAAUUCUCUAGUGCUAGAAAAAGAAAGUGAUUCAUGUCACUGAAUUUGAGCAUCAUUUCAGGGCAUUAAAAAACCCAAAUAACAUUUCAGAAGACUUUUGAUCAUAAUUUUGGGGUUAAUAGAAAUUAAAAUCAAUAUAUGGUAGCUUUGAGUAAGAGACAAAACCUAUCUACUGGAGAGACUUCAAAGGUCAACGGAUCCCAGAAAGGCUCUAACUUAUUAGAGACAUUUAUCAUGCAUUGCCUUUGGGACAUUAAAAUGUCACCCUCAGGAUUUAUGGUUUUUGCAAAAUGUGUACAAUUUCUGUGGGGAAUUUUUCUUAUCCCAAAGGACAGGGAUAAUAGAAAGGAAGCCUUUUAUUAGGGCUUACUUUUAAAAUGUUCUGAAAGCACUAAAGAGUCAGGAUGACUGUUGUCCAGCUGGCUACAGGCAGUUGGCACAUAAAUCACAAGGAAUUGGCCAUAGUGAGACUCUGCACAGAACAGCUUGCACAAAUUGGCAACUGAUCAUUCCCUCUCCUUUAUUUCUGUAUAAACUGUUUACAGAAAACUAUGCGGCAGAGUGUCUGAGAAUAGUGACUUUCUAAUCCCUAGUAAUUCCUAGGAAAUGUAAUUGUAGGAACAAAUUUCAUAAAGUAUCUUCAGUCUUACAUAAAUCUGUGUAAAUCACAGAUCCCUUUAAAUGCCGUUUGGAUAGCAGAGCUCUAGCUGGAACUGCAACCUGACUUCCCUCUGGAGCUUCCUGAAGGCAGCUUGCUGAUUCCCUGGUGGAACCCUUGCCUUCCCAGACUGACCAACCCUUGCCAACAGCCAUCAGUUCUUUCCAGAUAAUUCGGGACAAUGUCACCCCCUUUGCUGUGUCAAGAACUUGCCCCUUGAAUUUUAAAAGCAUCUGCCUUUCAUAAGAAAACUCAAUUUUCUGCUGCUGACUUAUUUACACACAGAGUUGCAGAUGCCUAAAUUGAAGUGACUUGUUGCUAUUCUUGGCUGUGAACAGGCUCUCUCUGUUGAAAACUGAAAACCUGUGUGGUGGAUGGCACGAGUCCUGUUGAAUGGUGCAAACGUCCCCUGCACAAAAGCACUAUUAGGAUGAAUGAGAAAUGACAAAGUGAGAACUGGACAUAAUUUGUUAACAGCUUCCGAAGUUGAUGAGGAUCAAUGAAGAUCCUCUUGGAAUGCAGGGUAUCCAUGUUCUUCUUUCAACUUGCACAUCAUAAUAAAAUAAUAGUUUGUGUUUGUACAAAUGUAUAAAAUAAGUAAGUAUCAUGUUAAAGACAUAGAUCUGUGAACACAGAGCUGGUAAAGUUUUCUUUCUGCUGUUCACAUGGGGAAAAUCAGAUGGCCCAAUGUAGAAAUGGACACUGAAUUUGGUUGUCAUCCAAAUGGGUCCAUGUCACUCUUCAAAAUGUAUCUCCAGUCCUGCCCCCUUCUCCAUUUGUGCUGUCACUGACCCACCCUAGGCCUCUAGGAUCUCUCACCUGGAUGAUGUCUGUACCCUGCUAAAUUGUCCCUCUCAUUGGCUUCCAUUAAUUUAUCUUUUUGGACCAUUGUCAAAUUGUGAUCCAUAUAUUACCCAUACCUAUUAUGUCAUUCCCGUUUAUAACCUUUUGGAGUUUUUUCUCACCUUACAGAAUGAAGUCCAACUAAGACUCUCAGUGUCACCUCUGCCUGUUGCUCCAGGCUCAGUCCCACGCUUCUGUGGGCAUCCUAUGCUAAUAGGUUUGCAUUCCUCAUGCUAAAUGAUCUCUGUCACCUCUGUGCCUUCGUUUCUGUUGCCCUCUCUACCUGAGACAUUUUCCCCUUUCUCUUGGCUGGCCUAACUAUUGAUUAUCCAUUAAAAUUCAACUCCUAUACUGCCUUCUCCAAACAUCCUUCCCUGGCACACUGUCCAUCAGGGUAGGUAAGCUGCCCAGCCCCUUGUGGGCCCCCUAGUCCUGCAGGCUUUGCUCUCACUGCACUUGAAUAUUGGAGCAUAGUAACUGCAAUGUUUGGAGUGUUUUUCUCCCCUGCAAAGUUCACAUCUAACCCCCAAAUUGAUGAUAUUAAGAGGUAAGGCCUUUGAGAGGUGAUUAGGUCAUGAAGCCUCCAACCUCAUUAAUGGAAUUAGUGUCUUUAUAAAAGAGGCCCAAGGGGACUUGUUCACCCCUUCGGCCAUCUGUGAGUUGGAGAGCUAGCCCUCAAGAGACACUGAAUCUGGUGACAACUUGAUUUUGGACUUCCCAGCCUCCAGAACUGUGGAGAUAAAUUUCUGUUGUUUAUGAAUUAUCUGACCUAAGAUACUUUGUUAUAGCAAUCUCAAUGAACUAAGACAGUAAUCUAAUUAUGCAUCCUCUGGUCUAUGACAUGCUUGAACACAUAAACUGUAACUUAUUCAUUGUUGUGUUCUCACCCAAAUACAGCACCACAUCUGACAUAUAGUUGGUACCUCAUAAAUGUCUGAUGAAUGAAUAAAUGAGGCUGGAUAGGCAACAUGAGGUAAAAGAAGAGUUUAUAUUUUCAUACUAGGUUUAUGGGGUUUAUAGUAGGUUUUAGAUAAGAUUUAUGGUAGGUUUUACAUAAGUUUAUAUAAGGCUUAUAAGAAAUAUAUGCUUAUUUAUAAAUAAGUAGAAUAAUUAAAAAUAAUUUAUAGAGCUUAAAAACACAUUAGAGAGCAUCUAGUCCUAUGCUUUUCUUUUACAAAUGGGCAACCAGAAGCCCAGAGAAGUUAUGACCUGUCCAAGGCCCCACAGUAAGGUAAUAACCUCUGAACAGAUCCACAUAUAGUAUUUGUGGGGCCCACUGUAUGAAUUGAGGUCUGUACAAUAUAUGCUUUAAUAUUUAUGUUCAAGUAAAGAAUAUCACGAUUCCCUAAUGGCACAUUUAACCAUACAUAUGUACAAAUUAAAGAACACAAAGUGCUUAAUAUUGUAAACUGUUCCUCAGCCGCCAUGUGAAACUAAGGUAAAUACCACACUAACUCUUAAAUAUUUCUGGAACCACCAAUUCAAAGUUGAAGAGGAGCAAGAAAAUUGCAGCUCAGCACUACUGGGAAGUGAUACUUGGUUUUGCGAUUUGAAAGGACUUGACAAGUUAAUUAAUUUGUCUUUUUCUUUACCAAAGUGCUCCUGCGACCUAAUACUCCCCAUAUCCCAAAGCAUCGCCCAUCUCAGCUGUCAGCAGUGGCACAGCCUGCAAGACUUCAUGGCAUUUGGUCACAGUCCUUCUGUCCUGAUGACAUCAGGCGAAAGAAGUGCCACAGUGUUUCCCUGGGGCCUGAAGAGUAUUAAUCACACAGUCAGAUGUUGGGCUGUGUGAUACCAGGACUGAGUAUCCAUUUGUUGGUUAAUAAGUGUGUGUGCUUAUGAUAUGGGAAGUCCUCUAAAGCCAAGGGCCCAGGGCAAGAGUCCCUCUUGCCUCACUCUAUGAGCAAUAUUAAAUGGGAAAGAAAUUCAUACACAGUAACUAUCAAGCUCGCCAUUAAAAUGCCCUAUUAAGGUAUUAUCUGAGAAUUUAGAAGAAGGUAAUAGUGCCUUAGGGUACCUAAUACAGGUUUUUUUACAUUCUUAUGGCAUUGCAUUUAGGAUCAUCUAAAGUAUAAAGGCCUAAGGGGAAAGAACAAGAAACUGGGAAUUUGCAGUCCUGGAUUGUUUUCUUAAAUCUACUAAUUACCUACUGGGUAACUUUGAGAAAACACAACCUGUUAAUGGUUAGCCAUUUCAGUUUCUCUACCCAUAAAAUAAGCCAUAAAUUAUCUACACCCAUGCAAAAGUGCUGGGAGAAGAAAUGUUCAAAUGAAAGGUAUUGUAAAAUUAUAACAUGGUUUUACAAAGUUUAAAAGCUGCUCUGACCUCCACUUAAAUUUACAUGAUGUCAGACUUCCACAGAGAGGGUCUCCAAUAGAACUAGUCUUAGAUGCAGUCGUGUGUUUUCUUUUAGCUACUCAAAAUGAGUAACUAAGAAAGGUGUUUUAUAAAUCCAAUCUAUUUUCUUGAGAAAAUGAAUGGUUUACGUGUAACAUAUACCUAUCAUGUUAAAAGACUUUAUUGUGAAGAUAAGAAUGUUGACUGAGAGCCUCUUCCUUUCUAUUUAUAUCCCAUCUCUUGUCAGCAUGGUGCCUGUCCCCUUCUGGGCUGCCAGAGACUCCCUGCUUCUCCUUGACUGGUUAUAAAACUGCCAGUCUUUUGCCUUCCCGGGCCACAUUUAAGCUGUUCUGAGUUCUUGAAUCUGCCAGAACAACCUGUGAUUUGGAUUAAGGUUGUAUCAAGAAACUCAAAGACCCUGAGACAAAUGUGGUUAAAAGCAGAUAUUUUCUUGAUGUAGGAUUGGGGACCAACAUCACAAGCUUUAUUGAGGAGGCAUUCCAAGAGAGCUGACCACACCAAAACAGUCUCAUGUGUUCUGAAGGGCUAUGGUUUCCCUGCUGCAUGGCUGGAGUCAUUCUUCCCUCACAAAGCACAUUGUGCUUUAUAGAUGCAGAGAGAAUACACUUUGACCUCUAAUUCAGGCAUGGAAACAAGCAGUGCUGAGCUGGUCUCUGGUGACUCCCAGGGUCUGGAACCACUGGACAGAGCAAGGUUGGGGUGGGCUUUGAUGACCUCUUUCUGAGGUUCUAGGCUAACAAACUAAUCACAAGGAAUGGGCGACUCGUAGUGCUGCCUGGGAGGCAGAUGAUACACUUGCAUUUUCCUUUUUCCAUGGUGAGGCAGUUCCUCACUUUGAGAGAACCAUGAUUCUCAUGGCAUGUAUUUCUUAUUUUCUUUAGCUCCCUGUGCCAAACUCUCUCCUCAGAACCUGUCACAGCCUUAGCCACUAUAGAUGCUCAACAAAUAUUUGUUGAAUAAACAAAUAAAACAUCGCUUCCUUAUUCUUCUGUUGGUAUUCCAUUAAAAAAUGGAUACCCCACUUACAAGAACUUCAGAAGAACUUUCCCAUUCUAAAGUUCCCAGAAAUCCAAAUGGACAAAAUAUUUCCAUUUUAAUUUUUAAAGAUCAGAAGAAUGCAGUGACCACAGUUUAUAUUUUCCCUCCUAUUCUCCUCAGGGCCUGUGUUGCUCAUUUAAAUGCAAUUUGACGUAUGUUUGGGUCAGUGGCCUCAGUCCGGAGGCUCUUACAGUAACUUGGCACUGUGGAAAUCCCAGAACUUCGGCCAGGGUCUGGAGGAGACGCGUGGGGUUGGGGGCACUGAGGGCCACUCUCAUUAAGCCUCAGGCAGUGGUCCGGCCUGCCUUGGGCAGGAGAUCUCUGGACUAGUUAGCUUGGUUUAGCAUGGAAACAGUCAGCAAUGCCUGAGAAAGCCACGAGGCUGGUCAAGAUGACUAGGAAGAUUAUAAACCAGAAAACUUCCGCCUUGGUAUUUGAAAACCACAUGGAAUUUUACAACAUUCUUGCCUAUUAACUGCUGGGAAGGGCACUACCUUAUUGCCUUGUGCAUAAUGGAACCAAUCUUUCCCCUCAGAGGCCCCCGUGUUGCUUUGAUCAAGUUCAAAAGAUGAGGGGAAUGAUGACUAAGGGCCUUGGGAACCAGACUGAAGAAUCUCACAGACAUACUCCAGGGUUUUUUGGGGAUUGUUUGUUUUCUUUUCUGACGCAUCAUUUUGGUAAACAAUUCCUAUAGUCUGUGCACUUAUCAAAUUCCUUACCCAAAUAUUUGCUAUUUAUAAAAUAAUCAAGGAAACAGACUUGUGUUUAUUAUUCCUAAAUCAGCCACAGUUUGAUGAAUUAAAAACAGUCUUACUUUUUCCUCCUUCCUCUCCCUUUACCAGCCUCUUGUAAAAGUGCCAGCAUUAUACACCCAACUCUCUCUUUAGACAGUAAAAAUGAAAAAUAAAAGUGACCUUCGUGAACUGUGCAUUGCCUCUGCAUAGUCUGUUAGACUUCGGGCCAGCAGCCAACCCCCCUUAGCACCAGAGGUAGAUCUUUGGAAGCGAUUGAGUUGGAAAGGGAUACAGUAAAUGUCUGUUUCCGGUUCACAGGGGCCUCAGCGUCACCACAUCGUUUGGACGUCUGACCAGUUUCCUGACUUUGAGAGUCUCUUACUUUAAACAUGAGGGAUCAGCCCUAGAAAGGAAAGGAAAGACACACGCAAGAGUCUGCCUCUGACUCCACCGGCGGCCACUCUCAGGAUGGGUCCUCCAGACGGGAUUUAAACAGAACUGUUUUGAUAGGGACAGUGCUUUCUGUUGCUGUCCUGGGGCAGGGUGAUGGCGAGGACACAGGGUGCUUUCAGAUCCUCUGCGUGGACAAGACCAGCUCUGGGCCAGCUUCCAGGAAGCCCCACUGGUAGCGACAGAACAUGUCCAAUUCAGAAAGCCCUUCAGGGCUGGUUCAACUGGAUAUCGUAUUUAAAUGGAUCUAUUUAUAUUUCAUAUGUGUGAAAGAAAGGCUUUGUUGGAUGAACACAUUUACACUUUUCUUUUUUUUUUUUUUUUUACUGAUUAAAAUUUUAUUAUUUUGGCCAGGUGUGG